This 496-nucleotide ribosomal RNA is filed under the name uncultured Scutellospora. Its description in RNAcentral is "SSU rRNA". It matches the Rfam family "Eukaryotic small subunit ribosomal RNA", at positions 591 to 1092 of the family's 1831-position model. The record is from RNAcentral. Lineage: Eukaryota; Fungi; Glomeromycota; Glomeromycetes; Diversisporales; Gigasporaceae.
CCAAUAGCGUAUAUUAAAGUUGUUGCAGUUAAAAAGCUCGUAGUUGAAUUUCGGGGUUCUACCGUUGGUCGGGCUUUGUCUGUACUGGCGUGUAGAAUUUCUACCUUCUGGGGAACCAUCAUGUUAUUAAUUUAGCGUGGUGGGAAACCAGGACCUUUACCUUGAAAAAAUUAGAGUGUUCAAAGCAGGCUUAUGUCUGAAUACAUUAGCAUGGAAUAAUAGAAUAGGACGGUGGUCCUGUUUUGUUGGUUUCUGAAUCACCGUAAUGAUUAAUAGGGAUAGUUGGGGGCAUUAGUAUUAAAUUGUCAGAGGUGAAAUUCUUGGAUUUAUUGAAGACUAACUACUGCGAAAGCAUUUGCCAAGGAUGUUUUCAUUAAUCAAGAACGAAAGUUAGGGGAUCGAAGACGAUCAGAUACCGUCGUAGUCUUAACCAUAAACUAUGCCGACUAGGGAUCGGAUGAUGUUAAUUUUUUAAUGACUCAUUCGGCGCCUUACG